This 451-nucleotide ribosomal RNA is filed under the name uncultured Alphaproteobacteria bacterium. RNAcentral describes it as "bacterial SSU rRNA". It matches the Rfam family "Bacterial small subunit ribosomal RNA", at positions 368 to 837 of the family's 1533-position model. The record is from RNAcentral. Lineage: Bacteria; Pseudomonadati; Pseudomonadota; Alphaproteobacteria.
ACAAUGGGCGCAAGCCUGAUCCAACCAUGCCGCGUGAGUGAUGAAGGCCUUAGGGUCGUAAAGCUCUUUCGCCAGGGAUGAUAAUGACAGUACCUGGUAAAGAAACCCCGGCUAACUCCGUGCCAGCAGCUGCGGUAAUACGGAGGGGGUUAGCGUUGUUCGGAAUUACUGGGCGUAAAGCGCGCGUAGGCGGAUUAGUCAGUCAGAGGUGAAAUCCCGGGGCUCAACCCCGGAACUGCCUUUGAUACUGCUAGUCUUGAGUUCGAGAGAGGUGAGUGGAAUUCCGAGUGUAGAGGUGAAAUUCGUAGAUAUUCGGGGGAACACCAGUGGCGAAGGCGGCUCACUGGCUCGAUACUGACGCUGAGGUGCGAAAGUGUGGGGAGCAAACAGGAUUAGAUACCCUGGUAGUCCACACCGUAAACGAUGAAUGCCAGUCGUCGGGCAGUAUACU